AGCUAACGUUUGCGGCGGGCCUAACACAUGCAAGUCGAACGCACUAGCAAUAGUGAGUGGCGCACGGGUGCGUAACACGUGGGUAAUCAACCCUUCAGCUUGGGAUAACGACUUGAAAGGGUCGCUAAUACCGGAUACGGCGCGGGAGGCUUCGGCUUCUCACGAGAAAGCCUCGCAAGGGGCACUGAAGGACGAGCCUG
RNAcentral lists this ribosomal RNA (200 nucleotides) under uncultured bacterium. RNAcentral's name for it is "partial 16S ribosomal RNA". It matches the Rfam family "Bacterial small subunit ribosomal RNA", at positions 29 to 233 of the family's 1533-position model. The record is from RNAcentral.